This is a long non-coding RNA of Oncorhynchus keta (chum salmon), 733 nucleotides long. RefSeq lists it as uncharacterized. The record is from RefSeq and is a predicted model, not a curated record. The transcript has 2 exons. Lineage: Eukaryota; Metazoa; Chordata; Actinopteri; Salmoniformes; Salmonidae.
AAUCAAAUCAAAUCAAAUUUAUUUAUAUAGCCCUUCGUACAUCAGCUGAUAUCUCAAAGUGCUGUACAGAAACCCAGCCUAAAACCCCAAACAGCAAACAAUGCAGGUGUAAAAGCACGGUGGCUAGGAAAAACUCCCUAGAAAGGCCAAAACCUAGGAAGAAACCUAGAGAGGAACCGGGCUAUGUGGGGUGGCCAGUCCUCUUCUGGCUGUGCCGGGUAGAGAUUAUAACAGAACAUGACCAAGAUGUUCAAAUGUUCAUAAAUGACCAGCAUGGUCGAAUAAUAAUAAGGCAGAACAGUUGAAACUGGAGCAGCAGCAGUCAGGUGGAAUGGGGACAGCAAGGAGCCAUCAUGUCAGGUAGUCCUGGGGCACUGUCCUAGGGCUCAGGUCCUCCGAGAGAGAGAAAGAAAGAGAGAAGGAGAGAAUUAGAGAACGCACACUUAGAUUCACACAGGACACCGAAUAGGACAGGAGAAGUACUCCAGAUAUAACAAACUGACCCUAGCCCCCCGACACAUAAACUACUGCAGCAUAAAUACUGGAGGCUGAGACAGGAGGGGUCAGGAGACACUGUGGCCCCAUCCGAGGACACCCCCGGACAGGGCCAAACAGGAAGGAUAUAACCCCACCCACUUUGCCAAAGCACAGCCCCCACACCACUAGAGGGAUAUCUUCAACCACCAACUCACCAUCCUGAGACAAGGCCGAGUAUAGCCCACAAAGAUCUCCG